GUAAAUAAAUAUGUACAGACGAAUAUCAAAAUGUUUAACAAAUGCUGAGUCUCUUCGUCACUUCGUGAAGAGUGCUUAUGAAUACAACUGAUCAGUGCAACUUAGCAAGCGAACGAUGUCCGUUGUAAACGAAAUCAUUCAAGAAAGCUGUCAUGUAUCAUGUAUAAGCGGAGGACAGGCUGCAGUGGUGCUAAUCCUUGUUUUUCUUAUUACAUCAGACCAAAGAGUGGGAAAUUAUAUAAGACACCAUAAAGAUGUAACUGCCGGUCUAAACAAUUUAAUACCGAUUUUCAAAUUUAUUGCUGUUGUCAUCUUGAAAUUGUAUGUGUGGGCAUUAUAUAUCUUACUAAAAUUAUCUGCUAAACUGCUGAAGCUCAUGUUUGUCAUGCUGAAGCUCAUGUUUGUCAAGCUGAGGCGCAUGUUCAGCAGACUUUCCGUUUAAAAGUUUGAAAAAAAGUUUGAUGUAGAUAUAUGUAUGUAUAAGUGUGGAAAAUUCCACUGGCAAUGUUAAUCGAAAGUUUUUUCAAAUAUACAUAAUAAAAAUACAUAUGUACAUAUGUAGGUACAUAUUUGAAGUUUUGCGUUCUAUUUUCAUAUAGUAUGAUUUCGGGAAAGAACCGAUUUCUAAUGAUAUGACAACGUAGAUAAUGAUACCAACACUCUUCUUUCAUACAGAUCAUUGACAGUUGAGAGCGUAAAAUAUAAGUAUAUACGACUUUGACAGUUGACUAGAUCGGUUACGCUACACAACUGCCAACAACAGUAUGGCCAUAUUGAAAUCCAUUCAAAUAACUCAAGUCAACGGAGACAUUUCGAAACGCAGAAAAUCAAAAAAUAAAACUGUAAAACCAUAAAAGCGAAUUAUAACGAAGAAACGUUCCUGACCUUCAGAUGGUUUGUGGUUCAUCAAAAAUUAUGAAAUAGUUUGUGAAUUGACAUUUGACAAGCAUUAAUUAUAUCUAUAAUUGAAAAUUCAUACAAAUAAAAAAUCAAUACAAAUAAAUUGUUCACUUUAUUUAAGCAUUUUUUUUCCUCUGGCAACGCUUUAAAAUAUUGUAAAAUAAUGAGAAUUGUCAAGUGCUCUCACACUAGUAGACGUUUGGCAUAACAUAUUAUCACUUCCCUUUAUGUAUUGGUCAAGCGUUGCAUUUGACAGAGUGAUUCAAAUGCCACAAAGUGCUGCUUUCUCACAAAUUUAGUAUAUAAACGAAAUGAAAAAUCCAUAUUUAUUCGGCAAUAGUUAUAUUUUUUAAAGCAAUGAAAAAGCGUUACAUUUUCUGUUUCUGUUUCAGUUUCUGUUUUAGUUUCUGUUAUCCAUAGAGAGUAACGACUCGAAUAAAAUACACGUUUAAAUUACACCGAUUGUCAUAAUUAUAUAGAGAUUAAAUAUGAAGCGAUUAUACCAUUUUAACAGGGCAUUCCUAAACUCAAGAUAUUGAAUUGAAUAAGAGAACUUUCCUAUUGCUUUCACAAGUGAACUUUAUGUCAAAAGAGCAGAGCUCAAGGAAUGGCUGUGACGAAAGUUUUAUAUAAGAAUUCAAGAUGCUAUUUUCUCUUCAAGAAGCUGCUCAUUUGUCGGAAUUGACGAUAUCGACCACUAUAUCAUAUAGCUGCCAUACAAACUGAACGAUCGGAAUCAAUGGCUUGUAUGGAACACUUCCGCAUUUUACUACAUAUCUUCACGAAAUUUGGUGUGAGUUAUUGUUCAUAGAAAUAAUUUAAUCCCCGAAAAUAUUGUUCAGAUCGGUGCACUAUAGCAUAUAGCUGUCACACAAACUGAACGAUCGGAAUCAAUGGCUUGUAUGGAAAACUUCCGCAUUUUACUACAUAUCUUCACGAAAUUUGCAUAUAGCUGCCAUACAAACUGAACGAUCGGAAUCAAUGGCUUGUAUGGAAAACUUCCGCAUUUGACGUGGUAUCUUGACGAAAUGUGACAUGGAUUACUGUUUAUGGUAAUAGUAAAAUCUCCGAAGAAAUUGUUCAGAUCGGUUAACUAUAUAACCUUAAUGUUUUUUAGCAAACAACCCGGCUAAAAAGAUUUAGUAAAAUGUUUUCUUUUUUUUACUUACUUUUUCUUACAUCUUUAGAUUUGCUUAAACACAUAGUUACUAAAAGAAAUGCACCAGUGAAGGGUAGAUUAACUUCUCAGCCCCCAUUUCCGCGAAUUUGGAUGCGCAAUUAAUUAGGCGGGAAGUUUGAUUAUUUUGUGCUCUUAAUUUAAUUUGGAUAUCUCUUAAUGCGAAACAUGUUAGAAAAUGUGUGUACUUUGGAAAAUUCUAUAAGAAAUUUCCAUUUUAAAUACCUCAUAUAAAUAUUUUAUUUUCCAAAUUGCGACACUUCCGUUCUCCAAAUCAUUCUUCAGGCUACAAGAAUAUAUAAACGUUUUUACUAACAUCCCGGCAUGAUCAAAUUUUAUUGCAAAAACACAUGAAAUUGACUCUCAAACUGUAGGAAAUAAGGGCUUUUAAUUGAAACAUUUGAAGAGUUAGAAUUCUGAAACGACAACACCGAGUCGCGAGUUGGGUGCGGGAGAAGGAAUUAGGGGAACGGCACAUGGAGACAGCGGAGAAGAGAGCUGCAGGCGGACCUGGUAUAGAAGAAGAAUAAGCUAAAGGCGGCGGAAACAGAA
Zeugodacus cucurbitae (melon fly) is the source of this 2629-nucleotide long non-coding RNA. RefSeq lists it as uncharacterized. The transcript has 4 exons. The record is from RefSeq and is a predicted model, not a curated record. Lineage: Eukaryota; Metazoa; Arthropoda; Insecta; Diptera; Tephritidae.